GGGUGUGGCUCUCCAGGAUUCCCAAAAUGCAUCUGCUUUUCAUGCAGAAGGUCCCUGGUUCAAUCCCUGGCACCACCA
Non-coding RNA from Podarcis lilfordi (Lilford's wall lizard), 78 nucleotides. The record is from the annotation of a GenBank genome assembly. Lineage: Eukaryota; Metazoa; Chordata; Lepidosauria; Squamata; Lacertidae.